UGAGGGGCUGUAAUAUUACAACUAAAUAAAUUUUGAGACCGUUGCCAAAAUUUAUCUACCCAAUUUUACUUAUUAUAUUUGAAAACGUGCUGGUUAAAGCUUAUUUCAAGUUGAUCAAUAUUCACGGAACUGAGUUGAGAACAAACUUCUAGAGGCAAAAAUGGAACAAAGCUCAUCAAAUCCUGCUCCUCCUCCUCCCCCUCCUCGUGCUGCUACUCCUCAUGUGUUUAUCUUUCCUUGCCCAGCCCAGGGCCAUGUGAAUUCUAUGCUCAAGCUAGCCGAGCUUCUAAGCCUUGCUGGUCUUAGAGUUUCCUUCCUGAACACAGAACAUAUUCAUGAACUUCUGACCCAUUCCACAGAUGUUCAAGCCCGUUUUACCAAGUAUCCAGGAUUCCAAUUCAUGACCAUACCUGACUGUCUGCCUGUAGAUUACCCACGAACGGGUAACAUAAUGGAAGUGAUUACGUCAUUGGAAGUGAACAGUAAGCCAAUUUUCAAACGACUUCUGAUUGAAACUAGGCCACCAGUAAACUUUAUCAUAGGAGAUGGGAUCCUGGGAUCUCCUCUUGAUGUUGCCGCUGAGCUAGGAAUUCCAAUCUUUUGGUUCCGUACAAUUAGUGCUUGUUGUUUCUGGAGUUAUUUUUGCAUUCCUGAUAUGAUUGAAAGCUGCGAACUUCCCAUCAAAGGAGAAGAAGACAUGGACAGACUCAUAACAAAAGUGCCAGGCAUGG
RNAcentral lists this unclassified non-coding RNA (731 nucleotides) under Hevea brasiliensis (rubber tree). Lineage: Eukaryota; Viridiplantae; Streptophyta; Magnoliopsida; Malpighiales; Euphorbiaceae. The record is from RNAcentral.